CUUGCUAGCUUGAUGAGUGCAAUUUGUGCACCUAUUUAGACCACAUUAUUAAACUUUUAAGUCGUUGAAUUAUUAAUUUCUAUUUAACUUAUGUUAAUUUUCUUUGUGUUUUUAGUGACGAACCCGUUUGAAGCGAUUGGAAAGGAAGAAGGGCAAAAUCGAGUAAAAUCCAUGAUUUGGGAUUAAAUUCCACAAGUUUGAAUUUGAGGAGGGCAUUGGUUGCACAAAUAAAUUUGUAUCAAGGACUAACUUGCAUUCUUUGAAAGUUAGGACUUGGAGAAAAGUAAUUUAUUGAUGGGCCUCAAAUUAGGAGUUUUGAAUUGGAAUGAAACCCAAUUAAUUAUUUGCCCAUUAUAUACGCUACAGUCGGCUGAAAAGAAGAGGUGAGAGCAAUUGAAAUAUCACAAAAAUUAGAGUAAAAAACGGCAGCUGUGGGAGAGAAGAAAAAAGGCCUAUUUACUACAUAGAUACAAUUCACGUCAACAGGAAUUGGAGGGUUGUUGCUGCCGAAUUAUAUCCUAUAUAAAAACAUAAAUUGAAGCAGCUUUGGGAAGAGUUUAUUGGGCUGAAUUGGUAGGAGGAAAUAGAGAUUUAGGGGCCGCAAUAUUAUUUUCUUACACGUACAUUGGAGCAGCCAAAAAGGAGGAGAGUUGCUGGGAAUUAAUAUACAAAAAAGUGCUGUUGUGGUGGGAUUAAUAUAUAUAUAAAACCAGAAACUGAAGUAGCAGGGAGUGGUCAAGCAUUACAGCUGAAGGAAUAUACAUACAUAUAAGCAGAAAAGCUGACUAAAUAGAAGGAGAAAGAGAAGUAACGGAGGCGAGAAAUUGCAAGGAAAAAAAGGGCAGAUUCGUGUUAAAAAAUUUAAUCAUGUUCCGUCAAUUUUCGGUGAUGUUUUUCCACUUUUAUUUGUUUAAUUCCCA
This 920-nucleotide long non-coding RNA is filed under the name Olea europaea subsp. europaea. The record is from RNAcentral. Lineage: Eukaryota; Viridiplantae; Streptophyta; Magnoliopsida; Lamiales; Oleaceae.